Molecule: ribosomal RNA, 346 nt
Filed under: uncultured Anaerolineaceae bacterium
Lineage: Bacteria; Bacillati; Chloroflexota; Anaerolineae; Anaerolineales; Anaerolineaceae
Description: bacterial SSU rRNA
Rfam family: Bacterial small subunit ribosomal RNA
Source: RNAcentral
AGCUUGUACAGGUGCUGCAUGGCUGUCGUCAGCUCGUGUCGUGAGAUGUUCGGUUAAGUUCCGCUAACGAGCGCAACCCUCGCUGUGUGUUUACAAGUGUCACACGGAACUGCCGGUCAUAAACCGGAGGAAGGUGGGGAUGACGUCAAGUCAGCAUGGCCUUUAUAUCCUGGGCUACACACACGCUACAAUGGGAAGGGACAAUAGGUUGCGAAGCCGCGAGGCGGAGCCAAUCCAGCAAAACUUACCCUCAGUUCAGAUUGCAGGCUGCAACUCGCCUGCAUGAAGUUGGAGUUGCUAGUAAACGCAGGUCAGCCAUACUGCGUUGAAUACGUUCCCGGGGCUU